CAUGUAGGUGGCCUACUAAGUCGAUCGUGAAAUCCCUUGGCUCAACCAAGGAACUGCGAUCGAAACUGAUGGGCUUGAGUACAGAAGAGGAAAGUGGAAUUCCCGGUGUAAGGGUGAAAUCUGUAGAGAUCGGGAGGAACACCAGUGGCGAAGGCGGCUUUCUGGUCUGUAACUGACGCUGAAAUGCGAAAGCUAGGGGAGCAAACAGGAUUAGAUACCCUGGUAGUCC
Molecule: ribosomal RNA, 229 nt
Filed under: uncultured bacterium
Lineage: Bacteria
Description: partial 16S ribosomal RNA
Rfam family: Bacterial small subunit ribosomal RNA
Source: RNAcentral